This 489-nucleotide ribosomal RNA is filed under the name uncultured bacterium. RNAcentral describes it as "bacterial SSU rRNA". It matches the Rfam family "Bacterial small subunit ribosomal RNA", at positions 28 to 516 of the family's 1533-position model. The record is from RNAcentral.
GACGAACGCUGGCGGCGUGCUUAACACAUGCAAGUCGAACGAGAAUCUGUGGAUCGAGGAUUCGUCCAAGUGAGGCAGAGGACAGUGGCGGACGGGUGAGUAACGCGUGAGGAACCUGCCUUUCAGAGGGGGACAACAGUUGGAAACGACUGCUAAUACCGCAUGAUACAUUUGGGUGGCAUCAUCUGAAUGUCAAAGAUUUAUCGCUGAAAGAUGGCCUCGCGUCUGAUUAGCUGGUUGGUGAGGUAACGGCCCACCAAGGCGACGAUCAGUAGCCGGACUGAGAGGUUGACCGGCCACAUUGGGACUGAGAUACGGCCCAGACUCCUACGGGAGGCAGCAGUGGGGAAUAUUGGGCAAUGGGCGCAAGCCUGACCCAGCAACGCCGCGUGAAGGAAGAAGGCUUUCGGGUUGUAAACUUCUUUUAAGAGGGAAGAGCAGAAGACUGUACCUCUAGAAUAAGCCACGGCUAACUACGUGCCAGCAGCC